CUCAGAAUUAUUUACAGGUGUGUCAGGAGAAUAUUCCAGAGGCUUGAGUUUCAUGGUGGUGAGUACAAGAAAAAGCAUCAGGAAUUGGCAUUAUAAACUGAGCACACACAGCUUGGCCAAUGAAUGGUUCUUGUUCACAGAGACGGACUGUAAGAAAAGAGGAAGAGGAAAGGAUUUGGCUUAAAGGAUGAGCUAAUCAUCCAUGAGACUGGAGAAGUUUAUAAACUCAUCCCUGAAAGAAAAUUCUUCUGCUGUGAUGCCUCAUUUAAUUUCAUUUUUGUGUUCUGGCCUUGCAACAGAAACAUGAGUCCAUGGGUGACCUUGAAGUGAAACACCAAGAAACUGCAAACAGACAUCUGUAACCAAAGGUACUCUAGGGUCAAUACUCCCGUUCACGGACCAAGUAACUGUCUUGGGCCAUGCCAGUCUGACACUUCAAGCAAACCAGAUAAGCCACCAGUGUCAAGG
Long non-coding RNA from Manis pentadactyla (Chinese pangolin), 468 nucleotides. RefSeq lists it as uncharacterized. The transcript is spliced from 3 exons. Lineage: Eukaryota; Metazoa; Chordata; Mammalia; Pholidota; Manidae. The record is from RefSeq and is a predicted model, not a curated record.